Molecule: regulatory RNA element, 114 nt
Organism: Felis catus (domestic cat)
Lineage: Eukaryota; Metazoa; Chordata; Mammalia; Carnivora; Felidae
Rfam family: Potassium channel RNA editing signal
About the family: This family represents a group of sequences related to the human potassium channel Kv1.1 hairpin element which directs the efficient modification of an adenosine to inosine by an adenosine deaminase acting on RNA (ADAR).
Source: Rfam
CUGGGCUAUGGAGACAUGUACCCGCAGACGUGGUCCGGCAUGUUGGUGGGAGCGUUGUGUGCGCUGGCGGGCGUGCUGACCAUCGCCAUGCCCGUGCCCGUCAUCGUGAACAAU